UUCAACAGAAUUCAGAGUUUAAACUUAACAAGGUUGAAGCAAGCCUGCAUUUUCCCCUGUUGAUUGAAAUGGGAGCAUGAGUGGACCUUCACUUUGUGAUUCAGACGAGUCUGGACUAAUUAAAGACACACGUGUACAUUUAUAGCAAAGCUUGUGCAGAAGGCUGACAGCCCAUCUUAUUCCCACCAGUUUCCCUGGGAGUUCAGCACUGCACUUAGCCUGUUUUACUGAUCUUCCUGAGCCCCUCAUUUGUGACCUGCAAGACCACCAUCCUCAAGAAGUCAGAAGCCUGUGGAACUGGAGCAUAACAGAGGAAGACGGGACAAGCUGAGAAGAAACAACAGAGAGGAAAAUCUUCGCCUUUGUGGCUAUUGGAGCAAAAGGCAGAAAGGUAGGAUUGUAUCUAUGUGGUUGUUAAUCUUUCGCCUACUCACACUGGCUGUAGGGUGGCUGUUGGCUCAGUUUGUGC
This 469-nucleotide long non-coding RNA is filed under the name Calidris pygmaea (Spoon-billed sandpiper). RNAcentral describes it as "lncRNA (ENSCPGG00000001620.1)". Lineage: Eukaryota; Metazoa; Chordata; Aves; Charadriiformes; Scolopacidae. The record is from RNAcentral.